Molecule: ribosomal RNA, 709 nt
Filed under: Staphylococcus aureus
Lineage: Bacteria; Bacillati; Bacillota; Bacilli; Caryophanales; Staphylococcaceae
Description: partial 23S ribosomal RNA
Rfam family: Bacterial large subunit ribosomal RNA
Source: RNAcentral
GAUUAAGUUAUUAAGGGCGCACGGUGGAUGCCUUGGCACUAGAAGCCGAUGAAGGACGUUACUAACGACGAUAUGCUUUGGGGAGCUGUAAGUAAGCUUUGAUCCAGAGAUUUCCGAAUGGGGAAACCCAGCAUGAGUUAUGUCAUGUUAUCGAUAUGUGAAUACAUAGCAUAUCAGAAGGCACACCCGGAGAACUGAAACAUCUUAGUACCCGGAGGAAGAGAAAGAAAAUUCGAUUCCCUUAGUAGCGGCGAGCGAAACGGGAAGAGCCCAAACCAACAAGCUUGCUUGUUGGGGUUGUAGGACACUCUAUACGGAGUUACAAAGGACGACAUUAGACGAAUCAUCUGGAAAGAUGAAUCAAAGAAGGUAAUAAUCCUGUAGUCGAAAAUGUUGUCUCUCUUGAGUGGAUCCUGAGUACGACGGAGCACGUGAAAUUCCGUCGGAAUCUGGGAGGACCAUCUCCUAAGGCUAAAUACUCUCUAGUGACCGAUAGUGAACCAGUACCGUGAGGGAAAGGUGAAAAGCACCCCGGAAGGGGAGUGAAAUAGAACCUGAAACCGUGUGCUUACAAGUAGUCAGAGCCCGUUAAUGGGUGAUGGCGUGCCUUUUGUAGAAUGAACCGGCGAGUUACGAUUUGAUGCAAGGUUAAGCAGUAAAUGUGGAGCCGUAGCGAAAGCGAGUCUGAAUAGGGCGUUUAGUAUUUGGU